ACAGUGGACGCGAGCAUCUUUGUUGUAAGUGUUUAAGAGCGUACGGUGGAUGCCUUGGCACCAGGAGCCGAUGAAGGACGUAGGAGGCUGCGAUAAGCCUCGGGGAGCUGUCAACCGAGCUGAGAUCCGAGGAUGUCCGAAUGGGGAAACCCAGCCACAGUGAUGUGUGGUUACCCGCGCCUGAAUAUAUAGGGCGUGUGGAGGGAACGUGGGGAAGUGAAACAUCUCAGUACCCACAGGAAGAGAAAACAACAUGUGAUUCCGUGAGUAGUGGCGAGCGAAAGCGGAAGAGGCUAAACCAUGGGUGUGUGAUAGCCGGCGGGCGUUGCAUUCGUGGGGUUGUGGGAUCCGUCUUGUCAAUUCUGCCGGAUUGGCCGACAGUGAGAAAUCAUCGUGUUAGUCGAAGUGGUCUGGAACGGCCUGUCGUAGAGGGUGAGAGUCCCGUAGACGAAAACAUGGUGACUGUCGUGACGGACACCCGAGUAGCAGCGGGCCCGUGAAAUCUGCUGUGAAUCUGUCGGGACCACCCGAUAAGCCUGAAUACUCCCUGGUGACCGAUAGCGGACUAGUACCGUGAGGGAAAGGUGAAAAGUACCCCGGGAGGGGAGUGAAAUAGUACCUGAAACCGUGCGCUUACAAUCCGUCAGAGCCUGCGCCACUUCGGUGGGUGGGUGAUGGCGUGCCUUUUGAAGAAUGAGCCUGCGAGUUAGCGGCAUGUCGCGAGGUUAACCCGUGUGGGGUAGCCGUAGCGAAAGCGAGUCCGAAUAGGGCGUUUGUAGUGGCAUGUUCUAGACCCGAAGCGGAGUGAUCUACCCAUGGCCAGGGUGAAGCGACGGUAAGACGUCGUGGAGGCCCGAACCCACUUAGGUUGAAAACUGAGGGGAUGAGCUGUGGGUAGGGGUGAAAGGCCAAUCAAACUCCGUGAUAGCUGGUUCUCCCCGAAAUGCAUUUAGGUGCAGCGUCGCGUGUUUCACUCUGGAGGUAGAGCUACUGGAUGGCCGAUGGGCCCCACAAGGUUACUGACGUCAGCCAAACUCCGAAUGCCAGAGUGUGAGAGCGCGGCAGUGAGACUGCGGGGGAUAAGCUUCGUAGUCGAGAGGGAAACAGCCCAGAUCGCCGGCUAAGGCCCCUAAGCGUGUACUAAGUGGAAAAGGAUGUGGGGUCGCGAAGACAACCAGGAGGUUGGCUUAGAAGCAGCCACCCUUGAAAGAGUGCGUAAUAGCUCACUGGUCAAGUGAUCCUGCGCCGACAAUGUAGCGGGGCUCAAGUACACCGCCGAAGCCGCGGCAUUCACAUAACACCCAUGCGGGUCUACGGGCCUGUGUGCAGUGGUGUGGAUGGGUAGGGGAGCGUCGUGCAGCCAUGGAAGCGCCGGAGUGAUCCAGGUGUGGAGGCUGCACGAGUGAGAAUGCAGGCAUGAGUAGCGAAAGACGAGUGAGAAACUCGUCCGCCGAAUGACCAAGGGUUCCUGGGCCAGGUUAAUCCGCCCAGGGUGAGUCGGGACCUAAGGCGAGGCCGACAGGCGUAGUCGAUGGACAACGGGUUGAUAUUCCCGUACCCGUGUGAACGCGCCCCUGGUGAAUCAGUGAUGCUAAGCGCCCUGAAGCCGCCUUCGAACCUUCGGGUUCUCCGGUGUGUGGAUGCGCGUGAACCGAUCUGGUAGUAGCCAAGCGAUGGGGUGACGCAGGAAGGUAGCUGAGCCAGUCAGUGGUAAUACUGGUGUAAGCGUGUAGGGCGUGACCUAGGCAAAUCCGGGUCACAUACAGCCUGAGACGUGAUGCGUAGCCGAUUGAGGCGAAUUCAGUGAUCCUAUGCUGCCGAGAAAAGCCUCUAGCGAGCUUUCACACGGCCCGUACCCCAAACCGACACAGGUGGUCAGGUAGAGAAUACUAAGGCGAUCGAGAUAACUGUGGUUAAGGAACUCGGCAAAAUGCCCCCGUAACUUCGGGAGAAGGGGGGCCUCGUCUGGUGACGGAACUUGCUUCCUGAGCUGGGUGGGGCCGCAGAGACCAGAGAGAAGCGACUGUUUACUAAAAACACAGGUCCGUGCGAAGUCGUAAGACGAUGUAUACGGACUGACGCCUGCCCGGUGCUGGAAGGUUAAGAGGACCGGUUAGCCAGUAAUGGCGAAGCUGAGAAUUUAAGCCCCAGUAAACGGCGGUGGUAACUAUAACCAUCCUAAGGUAGCGAAAUUCCUUGUCGGGUAAGUUCCGACCUGCACGAAUGGCGUAACGACUUCUCUGCUGUCUCAACCACAGACUCGGCGAAAUUGCAUUACGAGUAAAGAUGCUCGUUACGCGCGGCAGGACGAAAAGACCCCGGGACCUUCACUAUAGCUUGGUAUUGGUGUUCGGUUCGGUUUGUGUAGGAUAGGUGGGAGACUGUGAAGCGGGCACGCCAGUGUUCGUGGAGUCGUUGUUGAAAUACCACUCUGAUCGUAUUGGACAUCUAACCUCGGACCAUGAUCUGGUUCAGGGACAGUGCCUGGUGGGUAGUUUAACUGGGGCGGUUGCCUCCCAAAAUGUAACGGAGGCGCCCAAAGGUUCCCUCAGCCUGGUUGGCAAUCAGGUGUCGAGUGCAAGUGCACAAGGGAGCUUGACUGUGAGACUGACAGGUCGAGCAGGGACGAAAGUCGGGACUAGUGAUCCGGCACCGGCAAGUGGAAGCGGUGUCGCUCAACGGAUAAAAGGUACCCCGGGGAUAACAGGCUGAUCUUCCCCAAGAGUCCAUAUCGACGGGAUGGUUUGGCACCUCGAUGUCGGCUCGUCGCAUCCUGGGGCUGGAGUAGGUCCCAAGGGUUGGGCUGUUCGCCCAUUAAAGCGGCACGCGAGCUGGGUUUAGAACGUCGUGAGACAGUUCGGUCUCUAUCCGCCGCGCGCGUUAGAAACUUGAGGAAGGCUGUCCCUAGUACGAGAGGACCGGGACGGACGAACCUCUGGUGUGCCAGUUGUUCCGCCAGGAGCACUGCUGGUUAGCUACGUUCGGAAGGGAUAACCGCUGAAAGCAUCUAAGCGGGAAGCCUGUUCCAAGAUGAGGUUUCUCACCCCCUCGAGGGGUAAGGCCCCGGCAGA
Molecule: ribosomal RNA, 3071 nt
Filed under: Rhodococcus (subgen. Prescottella) equi
Lineage: Bacteria; Bacillati; Actinomycetota; Actinomycetes; Mycobacteriales; Nocardiaceae
Description: Rhodococcus hoagii partial 23S ribosomal RNA
Rfam family: Bacterial large subunit ribosomal RNA
Source: RNAcentral